UUCUGCCUACGGGACGCAGCAGUGGGGGAUAUUGCACAAUGGAGGAAACUCUGAUGCAGCGACGCCGCGUGAGGGAAGACGGUCUUCGGAUUGUAAACCUCUGUCUUUGGGGAAGAAAAUGACGGUACCCAAAGAGGAAGCUCCGGCUAACUACGUGCCAGCAGCCGCGGUAAUACGUAGGGAGCGAGCGUUGUCCGGAAUUACUGGGUGUAAAGGGAGCGUAGGCGGGCGAGAACGUUGAAUGUUAAAUAUACCGGCUUAACUGUUAGCUGCGUUCAAAACUUCUUGUCUUGAGUGAAGUAGAG
RNAcentral lists this ribosomal RNA (305 nucleotides) under uncultured bacterium. RNAcentral describes it as "bacterial SSU rRNA". It matches the Rfam family "Bacterial small subunit ribosomal RNA", at positions 333 to 656 of the family's 1533-position model. The record is from RNAcentral.